UAUUAGGUUGGUGCAAAAGUAAUUGUGGGUUUUGUCAUUACUUUUAAUGGCCAAGACCACAUGCAAUUACUUUUGCACCAACUGAAUAA
This 89-nucleotide microRNA precursor is filed under the name Macaca nemestrina (pig-tailed macaque). Its description in RNAcentral is "miRNA (ENSMNEG00000012476.1)". The record is from RNAcentral. Lineage: Eukaryota; Metazoa; Chordata; Mammalia; Primates; Cercopithecidae.